AGUAGAAGUUGGAUGCUUAACUGACCAAGCCACCCAGGCACCCUGAAUAUCAACAAUUUAAGAUGAAAAAUCGUUCCCUGCUGGGCCAUAGGGGAGCCUGAAGCAAAAGGAAAAGAUCUUGUUUCUCUAGAGAACCUGACUGAUAUGGUGGCUCUGCAUGAGGUGAGACAACGGGCAAGUAUGGAGGAUUUACUAGAAAAUACAGCCUGUCACAGGUUUAGGCCCAGCUUGUCUAGGCCUCUGCCCCCCUUACUGCAGAACUCACCGGCUGGCAUCCUCUGGGGAACCGGGCACAACACAGCCUGCACCACAGGAAAGUGUGACCAUGGACUUUUCUACUUAUAUCACAGAAGAUCUUCUCCUUAAAAGCACUCAAGAUGCCCAGGAUCUAUCUAUGUGGACCUUUUGCAAAAGAAAACUUUAAUAAUUGGAAAGAAUAAAGCAUCUAAAUGCUCAUAAGAUUUUGCUGUGAGAACUCUUUUUGCCCCCAAAUUAAUGAUAUCUUACUGUGUAAUUGCUUUCCUAAAAAAAGAGAUAUGCACAUUGAACCUUCUGAGACAGAGGUAAUUAGGUCUUAGCCUAACAGUCAUUUUACCCAGAGGGAAGUAAUAAAAAGGAGUAUUAAACUGUUCUCCCAGUAACAGCAAAAUCUUUGUUAAUCUAUCCCUAAAAAAUAGGAGAGAGGGGACACCUG
Long non-coding RNA from Suricata suricatta (meerkat), 694 nucleotides. RefSeq lists it as uncharacterized. The record is from RefSeq and is a predicted model, not a curated record. The transcript has 3 exons. Lineage: Eukaryota; Metazoa; Chordata; Mammalia; Carnivora; Herpestidae.